Long non-coding RNA from Oncorhynchus kisutch (coho salmon), 1014 nucleotides. RefSeq lists it as uncharacterized. NCBI's taxonomy places the organism in Eukaryota, Metazoa, Chordata, Actinopteri, Salmoniformes, Salmonidae. The transcript has 5 exons. The record is from RefSeq and is a predicted model, not a curated record.
GGAGGAUCACAAAUGCACCACUUGGACAGCCAAGAGCCAACAGCUGAAGCUAAGCUAGCAAGCAAGCAGGAAGGAAAGGAUCCGUGUGACGUCGUGGGAGGGGACAGAUGAUAUUCGACCCCAACAUGACCAAGAAGAAUAAGAAGCCUUUCAUGCUGGAAGAAGACAGUAGAGACAGAGUGGGAGAGGACACACCGCAGGUGGAGGCCAAGGAGGUGGAACCUGAUGAGCAAUCCGACGAUCUUGAUGGCUUGAACUUUUACAACCAGAAGAAAAAGAAGCCCAAUAAAGUGUUUGAUAAUGACAUUGAGGAGUGGAUAAAGGUUCUCUCAAUCCAUUAAAAACAGGAGCUGAAAAUGCAAGGAGAGCAGAGCGAGGCAGUAGAAGACGACAACCUGGAAUCUUCAGUUGCCAGCAAAGAAAAAUGAGUCCUAGAAGGUUGAUUUCCAGGAGGAAGGAGAGAUACCGGAGAAGGAUGGCAUUUGACCUUGUACUAUUGAGGAUGAGGGGAAAAAUAAUGAUGGCCUCUCAUUCAGCUCCCAGUCUGGUCCGGCGUGGGUAAGUACAGACAGACACUACGAACAUGACGAGGUAGGCGUACUUACUUCAAUUCAGUUAUGAUUAUUUUAAAUAAUAUUGCAAAGGGCAUUUGGUUAUAUUGAUUCAAGGCACGGCCUCAGGCUGUUGGUUCCUGCAAUUCUAAUUGCACUAGUUUGAGAGAGAGUCUGAUGUUCAUAAUGUGAUGUCAGCUGCUGUGUCUUCAACAUUAUGCGGGACAGCUUUGUAUUCUGGACAUAAAGUACAUUUCUUUGCCAAAUGUUUUGCAGUUUUACUUUACUUGUCACGCCCUGAUUUGUUUCACCUGUCUUUGUGAUUGUCUCCACCCACCUCCAGGUGUCUCCUGUGUUUCCCAUUAGUCCCCGAUGUAUUUAUCCCUGUGUUUCAUGUCUCUCUGUGCCAGUUUGUCUUGUUUUGCCAAGUCAACCAGCAUUUCUCCUAGCUCCUAUUUUUCCC